GAUGAACGCUGGCGGCGUGCCUAAUACAUGCAAGUCGAGCGAACAGAUAAGGAGCUUGCUCCUUUGACGUUAGCGGCGGACGGGUGAGUAACACGUGGGUAACCUACCUAUAAGACUGGAAUAACUCCGGGAAACCGGGGCUAAUGCAGGAUAACAUGUUGAACCGCAUGGUUCUACAGUGAAAGGCGGCUUUGCUGUCACUUAUAGAUGGACCCGCGCCGUAUUAGCUAGUUGGUGAGGUAACGGCUCACCAAGGCAACGAUACGUAGCCGACCUGAGAGGGUGAUCGGCCACACUGGAACUGAGACACGGUCCAGACUCCUACGGGAGGCAGCAGUAGGGAAUCUUCCGCAAUGGGCGAAAGCCUGGCGGAGCAACGCCGCGUGAGUGAUGAAGGUCUUCGGAUCGUAAAACUCUGUUAUUAGGGAAGAACAAAUGCGUAAGUAACUGUGCGCGUCUUGACGGUACCUAAUCAGAAAGCCACGGCUAACUACGUG
RNAcentral lists this ribosomal RNA (497 nucleotides) under uncultured bacterium. RNAcentral describes it as "partial 16S ribosomal RNA". It matches the Rfam family "Bacterial small subunit ribosomal RNA", at positions 28 to 507 of the family's 1533-position model. The record is from RNAcentral.